RNAcentral lists this small nuclear RNA (82 nucleotides) under Neogale vison (American mink). RNAcentral describes it as "Neovison vison (American mink) U4 spliceosomal RNA (ENSNVIG00000002736.1)". The stretch from base 1 to 71 matches the Rfam family "U4 spliceosomal RNA". From Rfam's summary of the family: U4 small nuclear RNA (U4 snRNA) is a component of the major U2-dependent spliceosome. The structure of U4 snRNA from yeast and human has been reported. Lineage: Eukaryota; Metazoa; Chordata; Mammalia; Carnivora; Mustelidae. The record is from RNAcentral.
AGCUUUGCGCAGUGGCAGUAUCGUAGCCAAUGAGGUUUAUCCGAGGCACGAUUAUUGCUAAUUGAAAAAGAGGAAGAAAAGC